GUACACCCUGCGGGAGGCAGCAGUGGGGAAUUUUGGACAAUGGGCGAAAGCCUGAUCCAGCAAUGCCGCGUGUGUGAAGAAGGCCUUCGGGUUGUAAAGCACUUUUGUCCGGAAAGAAAUCCUUGGCUCUAAUACAGUCGGGGGAUGACGGUACCGGAAGAAUAAGCACCGGCUAACUACGUGCCAGCAGCCGCGGUAAUACGUAGGGUGCGAGCGUUAAUCGGAAUUACUGGGCGUAAAGCGUGCGCAGGCGGUUUGCUAAGACCGAUGUGAAAUCCCCGGGCUCAACCUGGGAACUGCAUUGGUGACUGGCAGGCUAGAGUAUGGCAGAGGGGGGUAGAAUUCCACGUGUAGCAGUGAAAUGCGUAGAGAUGUGGAGGAAUACCGAUGGCGAAGGCAGCCCCCUGGGCCAAUACUGACGCUCAUGCACGAAAGCGUGGGGAGCAAACAGGAUUAGAAACCCCAGUAGUCCCAUGAU
RNAcentral lists this ribosomal RNA (478 nucleotides) under uncultured organism. RNAcentral's name for it is "partial 16S ribosomal RNA". It matches the Rfam family "Bacterial small subunit ribosomal RNA", at positions 333 to 801 of the family's 1533-position model. The record is from RNAcentral.